Non-coding RNA from Vicugna pacos (alpaca), 1208 nucleotides. The record is from RefSeq and is a predicted model, not a curated record. Lineage: Eukaryota; Metazoa; Chordata; Mammalia; Artiodactyla; Camelidae.
UACAGGGAUAUGAUGUCGGAGACCUGCAGGAACCUGCUGCCCCUGGGGUGGGAUUCCACUGGAUGCUCUGUUCUCAGUCCAUAUUGAUCAGAGCUGAUGCCUCCGGACUCCAGUCCCCGGACCUUGCCCAGUUCCCUCCCCACUGGAUGUUCUUGGAAGACCUACUCACAGAAUGAGAACACACUGGCUGCUCUUUGAUUCCAUCUGGCACCUCAGAAUCUGCGUGAUUCUGUCUGCUUGUUUACAUCCCUCAGCCUUUUUUCUGCUUCAGCCAGUCCUUUGGAUCCUCUGUGAGAGUUACUUAGAAAGACUGUCAGGACAGUCAACAGAGAGAUCUUCUUUCUCAUCCCCAGUCCCACAUGGUGAGAAUAUAUGUCUUCAUGCUCUGCGCUUGGCACCUGUGGGUAGAGUUCAUGGUUCCAUGUGGAUAGUCUAUAAGCUCUGACCUCCAUAUCAUGCAUUUUUUCCCCCUGUAGUACUGGUCUACCUAGUCAGGGAAUGUAUACUCUUCCUGAUUUCAUAUUCUCCUAAAUUUGCAUGAUUAUCCCUCUGAAACGUGCUUUUGAAAUAACAUACUCAUAGGGUCUGAAAUGUUACCCAGUUUCUUUGCUGUGAUAAUCCAACAUGAAUUAAAGGACAGCUUCUGGUGGACUCUACGGGGUGGGUUUACUGGGUAACAAUGUUUCAUGGAGAGUACUUUCUGUCAUAUGUUGUAAUAUGUAUAUAUAUUUUUUAUUUUACUUUUGGGGUAAUUAGGUUUGUUUGUUUGUUUGUUUAUUUAUUUAUUUAUUUUUGGAGGAGGUACUGGGGACUGAACUAAGGACCUCCUGCAUGCUGAGCGUGUGCUCCACCAGCUGAGCUCUACCCUCCCCCUCCACUAAGCUGGCCCCUCCCCACCGUUGUAAUAUUGUCCUACUGUGUACAGAAUCACUCCCUGAAGCUACUAGGUAGAGUGGUCAUUUGUUCUAAGAUUGGAGAAACAAACUAUCAUGAGAGACUGACCUGUGAGUCUUUCCAGUUUUAUUUUCCAGUUUUUGAGGCAUGUCACAAAAGCCUGUCUCAAGGGCAUUGUGACAGUGUUGCUUACAUACACUAAUGACCAUCCCUUUUGAGCCUCAGUAAAUGGUGUAGGAAUUUCUCCUAGGAACAACAUGGUCCAACUUCUCAUCCUCAUAUCUGUAGGGCUGUUGACUAAAUUAUUAAUGACA